GAUGAACGCUGGCGGCAUGCCUAAUACAUGCAAGUCGAACGGGAGUGCUUGCACUCCAGUGGCGAACGGGUGAGUAAUACAUAGGUAACCUGUCCUUAAGACGAGGAUAGCUUCUAGAAAUGGAAGAUAAAACUGGAUAGGACAUCACAAAUCACAUGAUUAGAUGUUUAAAAGAGCAAUCUACUUAAGGAGGGGCCUGUGGCGCAUUAGCCAGAUGGCGGGGUAAUGGCCCACCAUAGCGAUGAUGCGUAGCCGGUCUGAGAGGACGAACGGCCACAUUGGGACUGAGACACGGCCCAGACUCC
This 305-nucleotide ribosomal RNA is filed under the name uncultured Anaeroplasmataceae bacterium. Its description in RNAcentral is "bacterial SSU rRNA". It matches the Rfam family "Bacterial small subunit ribosomal RNA", at positions 28 to 339 of the family's 1533-position model. The record is from RNAcentral. Lineage: Bacteria; Bacillati; Mycoplasmatota; Mollicutes; Anaeroplasmatales; Anaeroplasmataceae.